CUCCAAGAGCAGACGCAGCCCCAGACUGAAAAUGGACGGGAGGCACCACACAAGGAGUAUUCAAAAUCUUAAAUGGCUUCAAGAAUGAGGAACAAAAUGACAGGUGACACCUUCCCACGGGCGCCUCCCCAGCAAGGAGCCAAAGCAUCAUGUUCAUUCUUCUGUGGCUAAGCCACCAUCAGCCUUUUCAAAACAAAGCAACUUUAACACCCAAGGAAUGUUGCUAUAGCAGAAAAUCUCACAUCGCUUCUAUUUAGAAGCUGGGUGUCAUGGAAACAAGCCAAGGGCUACAUGCAAGAAAAAGAAAUGAGAAACGAAAACAACUGAGGUGGUUACCAAAGGAAAGGAGACAGCCAGAUUGGGAGACAAGGAAGUUAUUGGUCUCUGGAUGUUCCUGGGCUGGGUAAAUUUUGGAUUUGUACAUUCUGAGCUUUAUCUCUGGUGGGGUCUUCUGCUGGUCUGUGGAGAAGACAAGGAAAGUGAACCAAGCCAUACUGGGGGUGGGCCAUCGUGUUCCCUGUAAGCUGCCUAUGGAACCACACUCUGAAAAUUCUGGAUUUUCAGGUGCUACCAUCUUUUCUGGAUGGAAUCAUGCCACCUCUUUUGUUUGUUAUUUUUCUUAAUGCUCUUGGCUGAGAAGACUAAAUUCUUGGGUGGGCCCAAGCAGCGUGGCUUCACUCUGCCAUUUUCUGGCUGUGUCACAUUAGGCAGGAAAUUUUAUCAUCUCCUGAAGUCACACUGUCCUGCUGUGUAACAUGGAGACGCUAAUCCAAACAUCAUUGGAUUUUAAAUAUUUAAUGAAAUCAAUGCC
Cercocebus atys (sooty mangabey) is the source of this 811-nucleotide long non-coding RNA. RefSeq lists it as uncharacterized. The transcript has 3 exons. NCBI's taxonomy places the organism in Eukaryota, Metazoa, Chordata, Mammalia, Primates, Cercopithecidae. The record is from RefSeq and is a predicted model, not a curated record.